GGCAGCGCCGCGGCCGGGAGGGACCGAGCGGGGAGCAAGGCCUGCGGGGAGGCGCAGGAUGGACGCGUUGGCUGUCAUGAUGUAGGACCUCCUGACCUAGAACCAUGCCCGGCGCAGGGAGAACAACGAGCUUACGGACCGGGUGCGGGGGCUGCUGUGCGAGAAAGCCUACCUGCUGGCCCGGGAGCGUUCGCCGGCCCACCUGGUGGCUUUCCCUGGACGUUUAACGGCGACUCCGCCCGGCCUCCCGACUUUUUGAUGCAGGCGUUCUCUUACAUGACUUUCUUCGAGGCUAGAUUCUCGAAAGACAUCCUGAAGGUGGCUUUCUUAAUUAGCUGCCUCACCGGCUGGCGGAGCAGUUCGUAGUCGCCUACAUCGAGAGGGAGAGCCCCGUCCUGGCUCAGUACUGGGGCUUCGUGGACGCGCUGUAGCGGGUCUUCGCCGUCGUGGGUAGGAAACAGUCGGGCCGGAUCCCCGGUGUCUGGGGAGCGGCUGCCGGCCGGGCCCGCGCGAGCCGCUUCACUCCUACAAGCCCGGCUCACUAGUUCCAAGCUGCUGGACUUUGACCCUCGCUGGGAAGCUUGAUCGCCGCCUGUUCUCGCCAAUCUCUAUGCCUUUGCACUGCCCAGCAACCCGGUCACUGCCCAGGACCUGUUAAAAGUUGAAUGGACCUCCCAGAAUCACGCCGCUGCCACCGCCGUUUCUAGAGACGGCUUUUGGCCACCUUUGAGAAUCAGGGUCAAACUUGGAAGGGCCUGCAUUUGUCACACUUCCUCGGACACUAAUUUGGAUAGUUCAGGCCCAGAGACGGCUUCCCGGGUUAGUGUGCCUGACAACACUGAAGAAAAAUUGUGACAUUUUCCUUCCCCAGAAUUACUUCGUUUUAUACAUUUCACUUCUCUUCUGAAAUCACAGCAAUGCCAGUUUGCGCCUUUUGGUCUGAGGAACGCAGGCCCUGGCCACUACCAGGAAAAAGUAUUUACUUUUAAAACUUGAAUGUAUAUCUUUACCGUAUGCCUAGUACAGUAGUGCUUGGAAGAAACAGAUUAGUAAGACAAAAUAUAUGUCUUCAAGAACACUUACGUUCUGAGAAAGAAUUCUGAAUGCAGAUUCUAAUGUCUGAUCCUUUGCACAUGGCCUGCUAUCAACAAUCCUCUACAAUGAUUCUCAGCAUCACCUAGGGAGCUUAUGUAAAAUCUCAAAUUCCUGGGCCCUAUCCCCAGAGUUUCUUAUCAAGUAAGUCUGCAUUGGGAUCUGAGGAUUUGCAUCUCUAACAAAAAUUCCUAGGCGAUGCUCACACUGUUGGUGUAAGGUUUCCUUGAUGGAGAACUAUCAAAGCAGUCAAAGCUAUCAAAAUAAAAAAGAAUUCUGAUUGGGUGCAGUGGCUCACACCUGUCAUUCCAGCACUUUGAGAGGCCAAGGUGGGCAGAUCACAUGAGGCCAGGAGUUCAAGACCAGCCUGGCCAACAUGGCAGAAACCCCAUCUCUACUAAAAAUACCAAAAUUAGCCGGGCAUGGUGGAACACACCUGCAAUCCCAGCUACUCGGGAGGCUGAGGCAAGAGAAUCGCUUGAACCUGGGAGGCAGAAGUUGCAGUGAAACAAGUUGGUGCCAAUGCAUUCCAGCCUGGAUGAUGGAGCGAGACUCUGUCUCAAGAAAAAAAAAACAAAAACAAAAACAGAACUCUGCCUCAUAGCGUCUUUUAAGUUAUACACUGGACCUAUCCUUUCCUCACUGACAGACAUUUUAAAAAUUUUUUGGUAAGGCCUAGUUCAUAUAAAAUGUAAUCCAAGCCAAAAGUUAACAAGAAUAAGGGGAGGAAAGGGGACUCCAAUAGCAGAGAAAGGUAUUUACCUGGGAUAUACACUGCAAGAAAAUCAAAGCUAUAAGAAACGUCCAUGAAUAGUAGCCAUAAGGCAUCAGAGUGAUAAAAUUCCUGUCCCUAGGAGGGAAUAUUGGAGUUUGCCAGAGAAACAGAAUGAGAGAGACAGAGAGGUUUAUUGUAGGAAUUGGCUCAUAUGAUUACGGAGGCUGAGAAGACCCACGAUCUGCCAUCUGCAAGCUGGAGAAUCAGGAAAGCUGGAGGUGUAAUUCAGUCAAGUCCAAUGGCCAGAGAAGCAAGUGUACUGAUAUCCAAGAGCAGGAGAAAAUAGAUGUCCCAGAACAAGCAGAGAGGCUGAUUUUGUCCUUCCUCUGCCUUUUUGUUUCAUAUGGGGCACUGAAUGGACUGAUGCCCAUCCACAUUAGUGAGGGUGGAUCUUCUUUACUCAGUCUACCAGUAGAAAUGUCAAUGACUUCCAGAAACACCCUCACCAACACACGUGGAAAUAAUGUUUUACCAGGUAUCUGGGCAUCCCUUGGUUCACUCAAGUUGACACAAAAUUAACCAUCACAGAAGGAGACUGGCCUUACUCUGAAAUUAGGAAACUAAAGAAGUGACCAGAAUGGAGACUAGGUAGAGACAACUAGUUCUCUACCAAACAUGUACAGUUAUUCGUUGGUAUCUGAAGGGGAUUGGUUCCAGGAACUCUCAGGGAUACCAAAAUCUGCAGGUGCUCAAGUCAUUUAUAUAAAAUAUUACAGUAUUUGCAUAUAACCUUUGCACAUCUUCCAUAUACUUUAAAUCAUCUCUACAUUACUUAUAAUAAUGAAUGUGUAAAUGCUAUGAAAAUAGUUACUACACUAUUGUUUAUUUGUAUUUUUAUUGAAUUGUUUUGGGGUGGGGGGCAGCUGUAUCUUUCUUAGUAAUAGAACCCCUGGUUUUAGCUGGGCACAUGACUGCCCUCAAUAAAGAUUAAAGUACCCCAGCCUUCCUUGAGAUUGUGGCCAUGUGACUGAACUUUAGACAGUGAGAUAUAAGCAGAUAUCUUCUGUGGCAGUGUUAGGAAACUAUUAAAGACAGUAAGAACAUUGCCCUUUGCCUUCUUUUUCCUUUCUUCAUUUUUCUGCCUGGAAUGCAAAUGUGAUGGCUAACACCCUAGCAGCCAUUUUAGAUUAUGAAGAUGAGAGUCACUCCCCAGGAAGGGUGGACCUGAAAGCUGGAUUCUAGAUGUGGAAUGACAAUACCAGCCCUGGACUACCUACCUGUAGGCUGUGUGUGUGUGUGUGUGAUUGACAGAGAGAGAGAGAGAUAGAUACCACAAGUAACACAAAGCAUCAUACCUGGGACUGGGAAGGUUAAUGUUUAAACAUUUUAAAUGUGGCAUUGGUUUGUUGAAGACAGUCAAGCAGUAGGUGCUGCAGGCUUUGUUGAGGCUAGAAAGCUGUUGGUCUUUAUUAGGUGAUGGCAAAACAAUGGAUCACAUUUUCAUGUGCUGUGUCUUGGGAGGCAAAUGAUGAGAAUGUAGGAUUGGGGAAAAUGGUAAGGAAAAUCCAAAAUGUUCAUGUUUUCUAACCCCUUCUUGCCAAUCUUAAAAGAAGGACAAACAGGCUAGAUUAAGCAAGUCUACAGUUACAAUUGGAAGGAAACACAGCCGUACUAAGGAAGUACUCUGUCUGUGGCCUGCAGUCUAGUUUGACUAGGUCCUGUAUUUGAGCUUUGAAAGAGUAAAGAAUACAAGUGCUCGUAUACCCCUGAAGUAGUUACCAGCAGUGACUGCAAGGAGGUAAUCUUAUGGGAUGAAACUAUAACUCUGUAUUAACCAUCAUAUAUAGCAUAUAUGUGUAUAUGUAUGUGUGUGUGUGUAUAUGUGUAUAUAAAUAUAUGUGUGUGUAUAUACACACAUGUACACACCCUACAACCCAGUGAUUUCAAAAAAUUAAACAUUUGUUUAGCUCAUGAAUCUGUGGGUUGGGUGAACAUUUCUAUUGGUCUUGGCUGGGCUCACCUGUACCCAGUCAGCUGCAGGGUCUAGCUCUUCUUAUCUUGGCUGGGAUCUCACACAUGUCUAGGAUCAGCUGCUUUACUAGUCUAGGAUUGUCUUGGCUGAGACAGGUGGACUACUCAGUUCUCCUCCACUGCCUUAUCCUUCAGCUGGCCAGCCCAGAAAUGUUGCCAUGUUUACAGCAUAAGAGCAAGCAAGAAAGAAUAAUAUGCAACCACUUUUCCAAGCCUAAGGUGAAAGGGCGGGCAGAACCUGUGGUGUUAGGAGGCAACUCAUACCAGCCCAUGGGUCUACCGUUUAAUUUUCAGAAAUUUGGCAAGCUGAUUGUUAACACAGCUGUUGUUUAAUUUAUGUACUUGUAAUUAAAUAAUUUACAUUAAAACAAAGA
Molecule: long non-coding RNA, 4212 nt
Organism: Homo sapiens (human)
Lineage: Eukaryota; Metazoa; Chordata; Mammalia; Primates; Hominidae
Product: long intergenic non-protein coding RNA 667
Source: Ensembl